UGGGGAAUAUUGGGCAAUGGGCGAAAGCCUGACCCAGCGACGCCGCGUGAGGGAAGAAGGUCUUCGGAUUGUAAACCUUAGUUAGCAGGGAAGAAGAAAGUGACGGUACCUGCAGAGAAAGCCACGGCUAACUACGUGCCAGCAGCCGCGGUAAUACGUAGGUGGCGAGCGUUAUCCGGAAUUACUGGGCGUAAAGGGUGAGUAGGCGGUUUUUUAAGUUGGAUGUGAAAUACCCGGGCUUAACUUGGGGGGUGCAUUCAAAACUGGAGAACUAGAGUACAGGAGAGGAAAGCGGAAUUCCUAGUGUAGCGGUGAAAUGCGUAGAUAUUAGGAGGAACACCGGUGGCGAAGGCGGCUUUCUGGACUGAAACUGACGCUGAGGCACGAAAGCGUGGGGAGGGCAAACAGGAUUAGAUACCCUGGUAGU
This 427-nucleotide ribosomal RNA is filed under the name uncultured Clostridium sp. RNAcentral describes it as "bacterial SSU rRNA". It matches the Rfam family "Bacterial small subunit ribosomal RNA", at positions 355 to 794 of the family's 1533-position model. Lineage: Bacteria; Bacillati; Bacillota; Clostridia; Eubacteriales; Clostridiaceae. The record is from RNAcentral.